This 253-nucleotide ribosomal RNA is filed under the name uncultured bacterium. RNAcentral's name for it is "partial 16S ribosomal RNA". It matches the Rfam family "Bacterial small subunit ribosomal RNA", at positions 524 to 776 of the family's 1533-position model. The record is from RNAcentral.
UACGGAGGAUGCAAGCGUUAUCCGGAAUUACUGGGCGUAAAGGGCUCGUAGGCGGCCAGCUAAGUCAGACGUGAAAUCCCUCGGCUUAACCGGGGAACUGCGUCUGAUACUGGAUGGCUUGAGUUUGGGAGAGGGAUGCGGAAUUCCAGGUGUAGCGGUGAAAUGCGUAGAUAUCUGGAGGAACACCGGUGGCGAAGGCGGGACUCUGGGCCGAUACUGACGCUGAGGAGCGAAAGCGUGGGGAGCGAACAGG